AGGAGUGAACGCGUCGCGGCGUGCCUAACACAUGCAAGUCGAACGAAGACGCUAUAGUUGGAUUCUUCGGAAAAAGAGUAUAGUGACUGAGUGGCGGACGGGUGGAGUAACGCGUGGGCAACCUGCCCCAUACAGGGGGAGUAACAGUUAGAAAUGACUGCUAAUACCGCAUAAGCGCACGGCAACGCAUGUUGCUGUGUGAAAAACUCCGGUGGUAUGGGAUGGACCCGCGUCUGAUUAGCCAGUUGGCAGGGUAACGGCCUACCAAAGCGACGAUCAGUAGCCGGCCUGAGAGGGUGGACGGCCACAUUGGGACUGAGACACGGCCCAAACUCCUACGGGAAGGCAGCAGUGGGGAAUAUUGCACAAUGGGGGGAACCCUGAUGCAGCGACGCCGCGUGAGCGAAGAAGUAUUUCGGUAUGUAAAGCUCUAUCAGCAGGGAAGAAAAUGACGGUACCUGACUAAGAAGCACCGGCUAAAUACGUG
This 487-nucleotide ribosomal RNA is filed under the name uncultured Lachnospiraceae bacterium. RNAcentral's name for it is "bacterial SSU rRNA". It matches the Rfam family "Bacterial small subunit ribosomal RNA", at positions 27 to 507 of the family's 1533-position model. The record is from RNAcentral. Lineage: Bacteria; Bacillati; Bacillota; Clostridia; Lachnospirales; Lachnospiraceae.